RNAcentral lists this transfer RNA (71 nucleotides) under Loxodonta africana (African savanna elephant). It matches the Rfam family "tRNA". Rfam says of the family: Transfer RNA (tRNA) molecules are approximately 80 nucleotides in length. Their secondary structure includes four short double-helical elements and three loops (D, anti-codon, and T loops). Further hydrogen bonds mediate the characteristic L-shaped molecular structure. tRNAs have two regions of fundamental functional importance: the anti-codon, which is responsible for specific mRNA codon recognition, and the 3' end, to which the tRNAs corresponding amino acid is attached (by aminoacyl-tRNA synthetases). tRNAs cope with the degeneracy of the genetic code in two manners: having more than one tRNA (with a specific anti-codon) for a particular amino acid; and 'wobble' base-pairing, i.e. permitting non-standard base-pairing at the 3rd anti-codon position. Lineage: Eukaryota; Metazoa; Chordata; Mammalia; Proboscidea; Elephantidae. The record is from Rfam by way of RNAcentral.
GCUUUGGUGGUUCAGUGGUAGAAUUCUCCCCUUCCAUGUGAGAGACCCAGGGUCGAUUCCCAGCCAGGGUA